RNAcentral lists this ribosomal RNA (258 nucleotides) under uncultured bacterium. RNAcentral's name for it is "partial 16S ribosomal RNA". It matches the Rfam family "Bacterial small subunit ribosomal RNA", at positions 1243 to 1500 of the family's 1533-position model. The record is from RNAcentral.
AGGGAUGCUACCGGGCGACCGGAUGCGGAUCUCGAAAGCCUGUCCCAGUUCGGACUGGAGUCUGCAACCCGACUCCACGAAGUUGGAUUCGCUAGUAAUCGCGCAUCAGCCAUGGCGCGGUGAAUACGUUCCCGGGCCUUGUACACACCGCCCGUCACACCAUGAGAGUCGGGAACACCCGAAGUCCGUAGCCUAACAGCAAUGAGGGCGCGGCCGAAGGUGGGUUCGAUAAUUGGGGUGAAGUCGUAACAAGGUAAC